GUCAACGACUUCCUAUACAUGCAGUUCGAGCGAACAGAAGGGGAGCUUGCUUCCCGGAUGUUAGCGGCGGACGGGUGAGUAACACGUGGGUAACCUGCCUGUAAGACUGGGAUAACUCCGGGAAACCGGAGCUAAUACCGGAUAGUUCCUUGAACCGCAUGGUUCAAGGAUGAAAGACGGUUUCGGCUGUCACUUACAGAUGGACCCGCGGCGCAUUAGCUAGUUGGUGGGGUAAUGGCUCACCAAGGCGACGAUGCGUAGCCGACCUGAGAGGGUGAUCGGCCACACUGGGACUGAGACACGGCCCAGACUCCUACGGGAGGCAGCAGUAGGGAAUCUUCCGCAAUGGACGAAAGUCUGACGGAGCAACGCCGCGUGAGUGAUGAAGGUUUUCGGAUCGUAAAGCUCUGUUGUUAGGGAAGAACAAGUGCGAGAGUAACUGCUCGCACCUUGACGGUACCUAACCAGAAAGCCACGGCUAACUACGUGCCAGCAGCCGCGGUAAUACGUAGGUGGCAAGCGUUGUCCGGAAUUAUUGGGCGUAAAGGGCUCGCAGGCGGUUUCUUAAGUCUGAUGUGAAAGCCCCCGGCUCAACCGGGGAGGGUCAUUGGAAACUGGGAAACUUGAGUGCAGAAGAGGAGAGUGGAAUUCCACGUGUAGCGGUGAAAUGCGUAGAGAUGUGGAGGAACACCAGUGGCGAAGGCGACUCUCUGGUCUGUAACUGACGCUGAGGAGCGAAAGCGUGGGGAGCGAACAGGAUUAGAUACCCUGGUAGUCCACGCCGUAAACGAUGAGUGCUAAGUGUUAGGGAGGUGUCCGCCCCCUUAGUGCUGCAGCUAACGCAUUAAGCACUCCGCCUGCGGAGGUAGGUUCGCAAGACUGA
This 883-nucleotide ribosomal RNA is filed under the name Bacillus safensis. RNAcentral describes it as "bacterial SSU rRNA". It matches the Rfam family "Bacterial small subunit ribosomal RNA", at positions 35 to 897 of the family's 1533-position model. The record is from RNAcentral. Lineage: Bacteria; Bacillati; Bacillota; Bacilli; Caryophanales; Bacillaceae.